GACGAACGCUGGCGGCGUGCUUAACACAUGCAAGUCACGGGGGUCUCGCAAGAGAGAACCGGCGAACGGGUGCGUAACGCGUGAACAACCUGCCGUUGUGUGGGGGAUAGCCGGGCUAACGCCCGGGUAAUACCGCAUACGCUGCCCGAGGGGAGUCCCUUGGGGAGGAAAGCCAUGGCGCAAGCGAUGGCGCACGACGAGGGGUUCGCGGCCUAUCAGCUAGUUGGGGGCG
This 232-nucleotide ribosomal RNA is filed under the name uncultured bacterium. Its description in RNAcentral is "partial 16S ribosomal RNA". It matches the Rfam family "Bacterial small subunit ribosomal RNA", at positions 28 to 257 of the family's 1533-position model. The record is from RNAcentral.